UGGCGCCUACGGGGGGCAGCAGUGGGGAAUAUUGGGCAAUGGGCGCAAGCCUGACCCAGCAACGCCGCGUGAAGGAAGAAGGCUUUCGGGUUGUAAACUUCUUUUAUCAGGGACGAAGCAAGUGACGGUACCUGAUGAAUAAGCCACGGCUAACUACGUGCCAGCAGCCGCGGUAAUACGUAGGUGGCAAGCGUUAUCCGGAUUUACUGGGUGUAAAGGGCGUGUAGGCGGGGGUGCAAGUCAGAUGGGAAAACUUUGGGCUCAA
This 265-nucleotide ribosomal RNA is filed under the name uncultured bacterium. RNAcentral describes it as "partial 16S ribosomal RNA". It matches the Rfam family "Bacterial small subunit ribosomal RNA", at positions 333 to 612 of the family's 1533-position model. The record is from RNAcentral.